ACUGAAAAGGUCUUUGUAAAUAAUAUUUCUGCUUUCAUUUUCAAUGAUAUACUCCCAUAAGUCGUGUCGACGUUUCAGUCUUAUUCCAGACUUUUUUCAAGACAAAAGUAACAUUUAAAUAGGGAUAGUGAUUGUAAAUAGAAGUGAUUGUGAUGAAAAACUAAACUGCAUGACAUGCUAAAUGACUUAAAUACAAGUCCAUCCCACAUUCACACAAAAAGCAAACCUAAAUACCUACUUAAUUAUCACUUUUAUUUAUUUUCACUAUCCCUAUUUAAAUUUUACUUUUUCUUUUUAAUUUGAAAGAUCCCAGGCAAAGGGUUUAUUCACCAAGGAACUGAUCUGAUCAGAAGUAUUUCCCAAUAAUAUUUAUUGAAGCUCAUUAUUUAAUGCACUAAAGUUAGUUAUCAAUGAAAAACAUAAGUUGAAGUGUGAAGGAAAGCAUACUGCAAGGCAGUGUUUACAUAUCAUUAUUAUAAGUUAACCUUGUUUUUAGUAGACUGGUACUACUUUUAAUCUUAAUAGUGCAGCAAUACAGUGAAUUCUGAGAGGCCAACUACAACCUCCUCCAGAGAAUGUAGGAAUAGAUCACCUCUACUUUAAACAAUGUUCAGCAAUUUUAUUGUACAAUUUUAGAAGUGGUUAAAAUAAAUUAUUUAUUUCAUACAUUUGUCCAAUAAUUUACAAUUGCUUUUGGUAACCAGUAUUAAUAAUUUCUGGGUGUUUUUCACCCACCCACUAAUAAAUACACAUAUGGACGCUUUGUAUGACUGACCUUAUUACAUUUGUGCAUUUUCUAGUGAUAAAUUAGUAGAAGCUGUUUAUGCAAAUCUGAUUGUACAAGUAUGCCAAAAAGGGGUUUAUUUGUUUAAGUUCUGACUGAUGAGUUACUAGAACGAAAAGAAAACAGGACUUGCGAUCCCUGAUUCAAAACAAAUUCUUAUCUAAUUAGUAAAAUCAAAGAAUGCAUUAACUCUCCUUGCUGAAAGUAAAUGUUAAAAUCUGCUGCCUUAUGGUACCUACAUAUGGAGGAGCUGUACAGCCUCACAUUUCAGGGCGGUAUGAUGCUCUGAAAUGUACUGUUAUGCACCAUCUAUAUAUCCUAAGGUAGAUUAUAAAGAAAUCGUCUCCCAAAGUCACUAUAAAAGAUCAUGUUUUUUUAACUCUCCCAGAAGGCCAAGCUGACUAUUCAAAUGACUCACCCGUUCAAGAUUCCAAUUUACAUUUCUAUGUAAUCCUUUCAACAGGGCACAUAUAUUUAAAACACAGCUUUUUAGAUUACUGUUAUGAUCCUGUAUUCAUGACAUCCUGCCCUCAAAAUAUGGAGAUCAAAAUAGGCAACACAUGUGAUGCUCUUUCACACGAGUCUAGGUAUAGCUAGAACAUGCAUGUUAACCUCUCUCUGUACUACAUUCCUCUUUAAACUCUAAGGUACCAUCACAGACCACAUUUACACAGACAUUAUAUCUGUGCACCUCUCCUCCUUGUAUUUCUUUACCUUCAUUUCUUGUAGAUUCUGAGUUUUUUUGCUAUGAGUAAUCUUCACUUCUUGUAUCGGUCAACAUUUAUUUUGUCUUUCAAUAAUUUGCUUUUAUGGAUCCCAACUGCAUUAUUGUAAAGCACUGCAUAAAUGAUUGGCCAUUGUGUAAAAGGAGCCAGUCGAUACAGGUUUGUUUCCUAAACUAGUAAAUUCAAAUUAGACUAUUUUUGGCCAUUGUUGCUACAUUGCCAUAAUUAUGUUUUCUUGCUUGGGAGAAACAGGUAUACCAAUAAUGGUACAGUUAUACUUAUAAAAGCUAGUGCAUAAAUACAGGAAACAUCAUGACACAAGUCUCUCUCUCUAUCUGCAUCUCCUGCUAUUUAUUCAGUUCCUUCGCUGAUGAUGAUAAACCUGCAGAAGAACAGGGGAUACUUAACUGUGCUGUUUCUGUCCCCUGAACAUUUCUUAUGCCAUGUCAUUAUUGGGAUUAGUUUAAGUUAAAAUGGCAGCAGUGUAACUGUCACCUGUACGUCCUAGUGCUGCUCAGCAUGGUGACAGUAGACCAGAAAAGACAGAGAUUGAGGUACAGACAAUGUCUGUGUGUGUGUGUGUGUGUGUGUGUGUGUGUAUAUAUAUAUAUAUAUAUAUAUAUAUAUAUAUAUAUGUGUGUGUGUAUAUAUAUAUAUAUAUAUAUAUAUAUAUAAUGUAGUAUACACUAAUAAUCAGAUUGUUCUGAUGUCUUAGAUGGUCAUUGAACCUUUAGGUGUUAAAUAUAUUUUCAAGGUUAUUCACCUGUGGGAAUUUCAAUUGAAUUUCAAAUUGUAGGCCAAACUGUGACAACUUCCUAUUCUUCCAAUUUGGCUACUUUGUACUUCAUUCUCACUUCAGUGAAUAAUCCUGCAUGCUUUUCAUGGUUUACUCUAUAAUUUUGUUAUUGAUGAGUUAAGUAUUUAACGUUUUAUUUUGUUGUUGGUUUUCUUUACCAGACACCAUGCACAGACGUAAUGUCCCAGUGCAUGGUUAGACAUUAUACUGUUAGGAAGCUUGCUGUGAGGUCAUAACACCAGAAUUAAGUUUAAUCCAUUUUUUGUUUGGCCAUAUUAUAAAAUUGUUGUAUGCAUGUAAUAGUACAAUUUUAUAUAUAAAAACGUUCAUUAAAAA
Molecule: long non-coding RNA, 2641 nt
Filed under: Pelobates cultripes (western spadefoot toad)
Lineage: Eukaryota; Metazoa; Chordata; Amphibia; Anura; Pelobatidae
Source: RNAcentral